This 557-nucleotide ribosomal RNA is filed under the name uncultured bacterium. Its description in RNAcentral is "bacterial SSU rRNA". It matches the Rfam family "Bacterial small subunit ribosomal RNA", at positions 102 to 694 of the family's 1533-position model. The record is from RNAcentral.
ACGGGUGAGUAACGCGUGGGAAUCUACCGUGCCCUGCGGAAUAGCUCCGGGAAACUGGAAUUAAUACCGCAUACGCCCUACGGGGGAAAGAUUUAUCGGGGUAUGAUGAGCCCGCGUUGGAUUAGCUAGUUGGUGGGGUAAAGGCCUACCAAGGCGACGAUCCAUAGCUGGUCUGAGAGGAUGAUCAGCCACAUUGGGACUGAGACACGGCCCAAACUCCUACGGGAGGCAGCAGUGGGGAAUAUUGGACAAUGGGCGCAAGCCUGAUCCAGCCAUGCCGCGUGAGUGAUGAAGGCCUUAGGGUUGUAAAGCUCUUUCACCGGAGAAGAUAAUGACGGUAUCCGGAGAAGAAGCCCCGGCUAACUUCGUGCCAGCAGCCGCGGUAAUACGAAGGGGGCUAGCGUUGUUCGGAAUUACUGGGCGUAAAGCGCACGUAGGCGGAUACUUAAGUCAGGGGUGAAAUCCCAGAGCUCAACUCUGGAACUGCCUUUGAUACUGGGUAUCUUGAGUAUGGAAGAGGUAAGUGGAAUUCCGAGUGUAGAGGUGAAAUUCGUAGA